This 368-nucleotide RNase P RNA is filed under the name Candidatus Latescibacterota bacterium. Its description in RNAcentral is "RNase P RNA component class A". It matches the Rfam family "Bacterial RNase P class A". From Rfam's summary of the family: Ribonuclease P (RNase P) is a ubiquitous endoribonuclease, found in archaea, bacteria and eukarya as well as chloroplasts and mitochondria. Its best characterised activity is the generation of mature 5'-ends of tRNAs by cleaving the 5'-leader elements of precursor-tRNAs. Lineage: Bacteria; Pseudomonadati; Candidatus Latescibacterota. The record is from RNAcentral.
UAAGCGAGCCGGAUGGUCGCGCUUUAACCGGUGAGGAAAGUCCGAGCUCCACAGGGCAAAAUGCUGGGUAACGCCCAGGCGGGGCAACCCGACGGAAAGUGCAACAGAGAAUAGACCGCCAACGGGUGUCUUUAUGGCACUGCGGGCAAGGGUGAAACGGUGGGGUAAGAGCCCACCGCGUGUUUGGUGACAAACAUGGCACGGUAAACCCCAUUUGGAGCAAGGCCAAAUAGGAGCGGAUGAGGUGGCCCGCCUCGUUAUCACGUUCGGGUGGCUGCACGAGGCAUUGGGUAACCAAUGUCCCAGAUAAAUGAUCAUCCAUUCGGGCAACCGAAUGACAGAACUCGGCUUACAGGCUCGCUUUAAAC